AGGAAAUUAAGUACGGAAGUUCCUGAUUUCACGCUGUCAAGAAAAGCCUCUAGGAAGAGUAGUACUGCCCGUACCGCAAACCGACACAGGUAGAUGAGGAGAGAAUCCUAAGGUGAGCGAGAGAACUCUCGUUAAGGAACUCGGCAAAAUGACCCCGUAACUUCGGGAGAAGGGGUGCUCUAUUAGGGUGCAAGCCCGAGAGAGCCGCAGUGAAUAGGCCCAGGCGACUGUUUAGCAAAAACACAGGUCUCUGCAAAACCGUAAGGUGACGUAUAGGGGCUGACGCCUGCCCGGUGCUGGAAGGUUAAGAGGAGUGCUUAGCUUCGGCGAAGGUACGAAUUGAAGCCCCAGUAAACGGCGGCCGUAACUAUAACGGUCCUAAGGUAGCGAAAUUCCUUGUCGGGUAAGUUCCGACCCGCACGAAAGGCGCAACGAUCUGGGCACUGUCUCAACGAGAGACUCGGUGAAAUUAUAGUACCUGUGAAGAUGCAGGUUACCCGCGACAGGACGGAAAGACCCCGUGGAGCUUUACUGCAACCUGAUAUGGAAUGUUUGUACCGCUUGUACAGGAUAGGUAGGAGCCGAAGAGACGUGUGCGCUAGCAUACGAGGAGGCAAUGGUGGGAUACUACCCUGGCUGUAUGACCAUUCUAACCCGCCACGCUUAGCGCGUGGGGAGACAGUGUCAGGUGGGCAGUUUGACUGGGGCGGUCGCCUCCUAAAGAGUAACGGAGGCGCCCAAAGGUUCCCUCAGAAUGGAUGGAAAUCAUUCGCAGAGUGUAAAGGCACAAGGGAGCUUGACUGCGAGACUGACAAGUCGAGCAGGGACGAAAGUCGGGCUUAGUGAUCCGGUGGUUCCGCAUGGAAGGGCCAUCGCUCAACGGAUAAAAGCUACCCCGGGGAUAACAGGCUUAUCUCCCCCAAGAGUCCACAUCGACGGGGAGGUUUGGCACCUCGAUGUCGGCUC
RNAcentral lists this ribosomal RNA (966 nucleotides) under Listeria monocytogenes. Its description in RNAcentral is "partial 23S ribosomal RNA". It matches the Rfam family "Bacterial large subunit ribosomal RNA", at positions 1572 to 2538 of the family's 2925-position model. Lineage: Bacteria; Bacillati; Bacillota; Bacilli; Caryophanales; Listeriaceae. The record is from RNAcentral.